Peromyscus maniculatus bairdii (prairie deer mouse) is the source of this 810-nucleotide non-coding RNA. The record is from RefSeq and is a predicted model, not a curated record. NCBI's taxonomy places the organism in Eukaryota, Metazoa, Chordata, Mammalia, Rodentia, Cricetidae.
CCGCCGCAGCCUGGCCCGGCCCUCCCCGACUGCGCGAGCGCGACACCGGGGGCCUUUUACGACAGUUCGGAAAGCGAGCGCGCCGGACCUUCACGCCCUCUCACGUCGGUUAGUACAGCUCAUGGUCUCCAAUGUGGGAGAGUGUUGAACUGGGAAAUGGUGCCAUCUACUGAAGCAGCGUUCCGGAAGCAUCCUAACAACCAGUUCAUUUUGAAGAAUGUGAGUCAAAGACAGAAGACUGUCCACAUGUGUUUAUCAUACCCAACGUCACCCUGACGAAGGAAUUAAAAAGGUACCAACCUAACACAAGAAAAUGGGACCAGGCCAUUAGCCAUGUGGUCCUCUCCAAUGUCUGGAAGGGCAGUCAGAGAACUGGUGAGUCCUGUGGCACAGUGGAGAGGCAACAGCACAGCACAGACUCCUGCCAGAGAGGGCUGGGAGCUAUAUGCCUUGCUGGAUCUGAGAGGACAGGGACUCGGGCCAAGAGCAAGACCACAGCCCAAAGCACAAGACAGGAAUGGUAGCGGAAGAGAGCAACUGUGAGUCUUUCCGUGGCAAGGCCAGACCUCUCCACUUGUCUCUUGACCACACGUGAAGAAUAGGGCACCUGGGCCUUUAAAUAAGGGGCAGGGAGUUGAGCAGAGAAACGGGUGGAGAACCAGAGCAGCUGGUAUGACAAGCUGUGACAAAUACUUCACAUUCUAAUGGUCAGGGGCCCCACCUGCCUAGCAGCAGGUGGCAUCCAUCUAUGCAGACUUCAGGUGUGGUUUUUAAACUACAACAUUUGUAAAUAUUUAUUGACCACUAAGA